AAUGAACGUUGGCGGCGUGGAUUAGGCAUGCAAGUCGAGCGAGAACCGUAGCAAUACGGGGACAGCGGCGAAAGGGAGAGUAAUGCGUGGAUACCUACCCUCGGGUUCGGGAUAGCUACGGGAAACUGUAGGUAAUACCGAAUAAUAUCUCCGGAUCAAAGGUGUGAUUCCGCCGGAGGAGGGGUCCACGUCCUAUUAGCUUGUUGGCGAGGUAACGGCUCACCAAGGCGAAGAUGGGUAUGGGGUGUGAGAGCAUGAUCCCGCUCAUUGGGACUGAGACACUGCCCAGACACCUACGGGUGGCUG
This 306-nucleotide ribosomal RNA is filed under the name uncultured Planctomycetota bacterium. RNAcentral describes it as "bacterial SSU rRNA". It matches the Rfam family "Bacterial small subunit ribosomal RNA", at positions 29 to 351 of the family's 1533-position model. The record is from RNAcentral. Lineage: Bacteria; Pseudomonadati; Planctomycetota.